RNAcentral lists this ribosomal RNA (787 nucleotides) under Streptomyces sp. MJ408. RNAcentral describes it as "bacterial SSU rRNA". It matches the Rfam family "Bacterial small subunit ribosomal RNA", at positions 67 to 866 of the family's 1533-position model. The record is from RNAcentral. Lineage: Bacteria; Bacillati; Actinomycetota; Actinomycetes; Kitasatosporales; Streptomycetaceae.
CGAUGGUCCUCCUUCGGGAGGGGAUUAGUGGCGAACGGGUGAGUAACACGUGGGCAAUCUGCCCUGCACUCUGGGACAAGCCCUGGAAACGGGGUCUAAUACCGGAUACUGAUCAUCUUGGGCAUCCUUGGUGAUCGAAAGCUCCGGCGGUGCAGGAUGAGCCCGCGGCCUAUCAGCUUGUUGGUGAGGUAAUGGCUCACCAAGGCGACGACGGGUAGCCGGCCUGAGAGGGCGACCGGCCACACUGGGACUGAGACACGGCCCAGACUCCUACGGGAGGCAGCAGUGGGGAAUAUUGCACAAUGGGCGAAAGCCUGAUGCAGCGACGCCGCGUGAGGGAUGACGGCCUUCGGGUUGUAAACCUCUUUCAGCAGGGAAGAAGCGAAAGUGACGGUACCUGCAGAAGAAGCGCCGGCUAACUACGUGCCAGCAGCCGCGGUAAUACGUAGGGCGCGAGCGUUGUCCGGAAUUAUUGGGCGUAAAGAGCUCGUAGGCGGCUUGUCGCGUCGGUUGUGAAAGCCCGGGGCUUAACCCCGGGUCUGCAGUCGAUACGGGCAGGCUAGAGUUCGGUAGGGGAGAUCGGAAUUCCUGGUGUAGCGGUGAAAUGCGCAGAUAUCAGGAGGAACACCGGUGGCGAAGGCGGAUCUCUGGGCCGAUACUGACGCUGAGGAGCGAAAGCGUGGGGAGCGAACAGGAUUAGAUACCCUGGUAGUCCACGCCGUAAACGGUGGGCACUAGGUGUGGGCGACAUUCCACGUCGUCCGUGCCGCAGCUAACGCAUUAAGUG